Long non-coding RNA from Neodiprion virginianus, 192 nucleotides. RefSeq lists it as uncharacterized. The record is from RefSeq and is a predicted model, not a curated record. The transcript has 3 exons. Lineage: Eukaryota; Metazoa; Arthropoda; Insecta; Hymenoptera; Diprionidae.
CAGAACCGGAGUUAUGAAUUUUUGAAAAUGAUCCUCCAUACCGAAAAUCACCAGAUUCUCGAAUUUUCGAUCCCCUCUGUUUUCCAAAAUAUGUGGCAAAAAAAUCUUCGAAUGUGUAUCUCUUUUUUUCGAUAUAGAAUCCGUAAAAUAAUUCAGCUAAAUCAAAAAUGUAUUGGUAUAUUUUUAGCCAAA